This 606-nucleotide ribosomal RNA is filed under the name Penicillium concentricum. RNAcentral's name for it is "eukaryotic LSU rRNA". It matches the Rfam family "Eukaryotic large subunit ribosomal RNA", at positions 1 to 609 of the family's 3401-position model. Lineage: Eukaryota; Fungi; Ascomycota; Eurotiomycetes; Eurotiales; Aspergillaceae. The record is from RNAcentral.
UUGACCUCGGAUCAGGUAGGGAUACCCGCUGAACUUAAGCAUAUCAAUAAGCGGAGGAAAAGAAACCAACAGGGAUUGCCCCAGUAACGGCGAGUGAAGCGGCAAGAGCUCAAAUUUGAAAGCUGGCUCCUUCGGGGUCCGCAUUGUAAUUUGUAGAGGAUGCUUCGGGAGCGGUCCCCAUCUAAGUGCCCUGGAACGGGACGUCAUAGAGGGUGAGAAUCCCGUAUGGGAUGGGGUGUCCGCGCCCGUGUGAAGCUCCUUCGACGAGUCGAGUUGUUUGGGAAUGCAGCUCUAAAUGGGUGGUAAAUUUCAUCUAAAGCUAAAUAUUGGCCGGAGACCGAUAGCGCACAAGUAGAGUGAUCGAAAGAUGAAAAGCACUUUGAAAAGAGAGUUAAAAAGCACGUGAAAUUGUUGAAAGGGAAGCGCUUGCGACCAGACUCGCUCGCGGGGUUCAGCCGGCAUUCGUGCCGGUGUAUUUCCCCGCGGGCGGGCCAGCGUCGGUUUGGGCGGUCGGUCAAAGGCCCUCGGAAGGUAACGCCCCUAGGGGCGUCUUAUAGCCGAGGGUGCAAUGCGACCUGCCUAGACCGAGGAACGCGCUUCGGCUCG